GCCUGGGUGGCUCAGAUGGUUAAGCAUCUGCCUUCGGCUCAGGUCAUGAUCUCCAGGUUGUGGGAUCGAGUCCCACAUCAGGCU
RNAcentral lists this transfer RNA (84 nucleotides) under Canis lupus familiaris (dog). It matches the Rfam family "tRNA". From Rfam's summary of the family: Transfer RNA (tRNA) molecules are approximately 80 nucleotides in length. The record is from Rfam by way of RNAcentral. Lineage: Eukaryota; Metazoa; Chordata; Mammalia; Carnivora; Canidae. RNAcentral also lists the same sequence under 1 other name.